This 294-nucleotide ribosomal RNA is filed under the name uncultured bacterium. Its description in RNAcentral is "partial 16S ribosomal RNA". It matches the Rfam family "Bacterial small subunit ribosomal RNA", at positions 333 to 643 of the family's 1533-position model. The record is from RNAcentral.
UGGUUCCUACGGGGCGCAGCAGUGGGGGAUAUUGCACAAUGGGGGGAACCCUGAUGCAGCGACGCCGCGUGGGUGAAGAAGUAUUUCGGUAUGUAAAGCCCUAUCGGCAGGGAAGAAUUUAGACGGUACCUGACUAAGAAGCCCCGGCUAACUACGUGCCAGCAGCCGCGGGAAUACGUAGGGGGCAAGCGUUAUCCGGAUUCACUGGGUGUAAAGGGAGCGUAGACGGCCAUGCAAGCCUGGAGUGAAAGCCCGGGGCCCAACCCCGGGACUGCUCUGGGAACUGGGCGGCUG